Molecule: small nuclear RNA, 106 nt
Filed under: Castor canadensis (American beaver)
Lineage: Eukaryota; Metazoa; Chordata; Mammalia; Rodentia; Castoridae
Source: RNAcentral
UUUGUUAAGAAGUACAUCCUAGUGCUCGCUUGGAACAACACAGAGAAGAUUAGCAUGGCCCCUGCACAAGAAUGACAUCCAAGUUUGUGAAGCACUACAUAUUAAA